AUUGAACGCUGGCGGCAGGCCUAACACAUGCAAGUCGAACGAGUGGCGGACGGGUGAGUAAUGUCUGGUAAACUGCCUGAUGGAGUGGGAUAACUACUGGAAACGGUAGCUAAUACCGCAUACCAUCGGAUGUGCCCCGAUGGGAUUAGCUAGUAGGUGGGGUAAAGGCUCACCUAGGCGACGAUCCCUAGCUGGUCUGAGAGGAUGACAAGCAAAACUGGAACUGAGACACGGUCCAGACUCCUACGGGAGGCAGAAGUGGGGAAUAUUGCACAAUGGGCGCAAGCCUGAUGCAGCCAUGCCGAGUGUAUGAAGAAGGCCUUCGGGUUGUAAAGUACUUUCAGCGGGGAGGCGUUACCCGAAGAAGAAGCACCGGCUAACUCCGUGCCAGCAGCCGCGGUAAUUC
Molecule: ribosomal RNA, 406 nt
Filed under: uncultured bacterium
Lineage: Bacteria
Description: partial 16S ribosomal RNA
Rfam family: Bacterial small subunit ribosomal RNA
Source: RNAcentral